ACAGGCUUAACACAUGCAAGUCGAGGGGCAGCAUUUCAGUUUGCUUGCAAACUGGAGAUGGCGACCGGCGCACGGGUGAGUAACACGUAUCCAACCUGCCGAUAACUCGGGGAUAGCCUUUCGAAAGAAAGAUUAAUACCCGAUGGUAUAAUCAGACCGCAUGGUCUUGUUAUUAAAGAAUUUCGGUUAUCGAUGGGGAUGCGUUCCAUUAGGCAGUUGGUGAGGUAACGGCUCACCAAACCUUCGAUGGAUAGGGGUUCUGAGAGGAAGGUCCCCCACAUUGGAACUGAGACACGGUCCAAACUCCUACGGGAGGCAGCAGUGAGGAAUAUUGGUCAAUGGGCGCAGGCCUGAACCAGCCAAGUAGCGUGAAGGAUGACUGCCCUAUGGGUUGUAAACUUCUUUUAUAUGGGAAUAAAGUUUUCCACGUGUGGAAUUUUGUAUGUACCAUAUGAAUAAGGAUCGGCUAACUCCGUGCCAGCAGCCGCGGUAAUACGGAGGAUCCGAGCGUUAUCCGGAUUUAUUGGGUUUAAAGGGAGCGUAGGUGGACAGUUAAGUCAGUUGUGAAAGUUUGCGGCUCAACCGUAAAAUUGCAGUUGAUACUGGCUGUCUUGAGUACAGUAGAGGUGGGCGGAAUUCGUGGUGUAGCGGUGAAAUGCUUAGAUAUCACGAAGAACUCCGAUUGCGAAGGCAGCUCACUGGACUGCAACUGACACUGAUGCUCGAAAGUGUGGGUAUCAAACAGGAUUAGAUACCCUGGUAGUCCACACAGUAAACGAUGAAUACUCGCUGUUUGCGAUAUACAGUAAGCGGCCAAGCGAAAGCAUUAAGUAUUCCACCUGGGGAGUACGCCGGCAACGGUGAAACUCAAAGGAAUUGACGGGGGCCCGCACAAGCGGAGGAACAUGUGGUUUAAUUCGAUGAUACGCGAGGAACCUUACCCGGGCUUAAAUUGCAUUUGAAUAUAUUGGAAACAGUAUAGCCGUAAGGCAAAUGUGAAGGUGCUGCAUGGUUGUCGUCAGCUCGUGCCGUGAGGUGUCGGCUUAAGUGCCAUAACGAGCGCAACCCUUAUCUUUAGUUACUAACAGGUCAUGCUGAGGACUCUAGAGAGACUGCCGUCGUAAGAUGUGAGGAAGGUGGGGAUGACGUCAAAUCAGCACGGCCCUUACGUCCGGGGCUACACACGUGUUACAAUGGGGGGUACAGAAGGCAGCUACCUGGUGACAGGAUGCUAAUCCCAAAAGCCUCUCUCAGUUCGGAUCGAAGUCUGCAACCCGACUUCGUGAAGCUGGAUUCGCUAGUAAUCGCGCAUCAGCCAUGGCGCGGUGAAUACGUUCCCGGGCCUUGUACACACCGCCCGUCAAGCCAUGAAAGCCGGGGGUACCUGAAGUACGUAACCGCAAGGAGCGUCCUAGGGUAAAACUGGUAAUUGGGGCUAAGAC
Molecule: ribosomal RNA, 1442 nt
Filed under: uncultured organism
Description: SSU rRNA
Rfam family: Bacterial small subunit ribosomal RNA
Source: RNAcentral